Molecule: RNA transcript, 2091 nt
Organism: Hordeum vulgare subsp. vulgare (domesticated barley)
Lineage: Eukaryota; Viridiplantae; Streptophyta; Magnoliopsida; Poales; Poaceae
Gene name: carbon catabolite-derepressing protein kinase-like
Exons: 11
Source: RefSeq, a predicted model, not a curated record
GCCAGCGAGCGAGCGGCGCGAGAGGGAGCCGACACGUACGUGCGCGAUGCUGAUGCUGGCGCUCGCCUUUCCCCUUCCCUUUCCCUUUCCCUUUCCCCGGUUACGCCGCCCCCAUUGUAGGUCGCCUUAAAGUAAGCAGCUCUGGGCCUCCCACCCCCCGGAGAAGAGAAGGACCAGCCGAUCGACCCCAAAACCUCUCUCGAUUCGACUUGGACUUCGAGGCCUCCUCCGCUCCACUUCGUCGCCUCCCGGCCUCUGUCCGGGCGGCUGAUCGACCACGCGAUUUCGCCAGUGAAAAAUUGAAAAUGGAUGGGAACGCCAGAGGAAGCGGACAUUCUGACGCAUUAAAGAACUACAAUCUGGGCAAAACAUUAGGUCUAGGCACAUUUGGAAAAGUGAUAAUUGCAGAGCAUAAGCUUACAAGACAAAAAGUUGCUAUAAAGAUUCUGAACCGCAGUCAAAUGGGAGCUAUGGAAAUGGAAGAGAAAGCAAAUAGAGAAAUCAAGAUAUUGAGGUUGUUCAUUCACUUCAUUCAUCCUCAUAUCAUCCGGGUUUAUGAGGUCAUUGAGACACCUAAGGAUAUAUUUGUUGUGAUGGAAUAUUGCAACAAUGGGGAUCUAUUGGACUACAUUGUUGAGAAAGGGCGGUUGCAUGAAUAUGAGGCUCGUCGUAUCUUCCAGCAGAUUAUAUCUGGUGUUGAAUACUGCCACAGAAACAUGGUAGUUCAUCCUGAUCUAAAGCCAUAAAACCUGUUACUUGAUUCCAAAUAUAAUGUGAAACUUGCUGACUUUGGGUUAAGUAAUGUCAUGCAUGAUGGCCAUUUUUUGAAGACUAGCUGCGGGAGUCUAAACUAUGCUGCGCCAGAGGUUAUCUCAGGUAAAUUGUACCCUGGACCUGAGAUUGAUGUUUGGAGCUGCGGGGUGAUACUUUAUGCUCUUGUCUGUGGUGCUGUUCCAUUUGAUGAUGACAACAUUCCCAACCUGUUCAAAAAGAUAAAGGGAGGUACCUAUAUCCUUCCAAUUCAUUUAUCUGAUCUUGUAAGGGAUUUGAUCCCAAGAAUGCUUGUUGUUGAUCCGAUGAAGAGAAUCACAAUUCGUGAAAUUCGAAAACACCCAUGGUUUCAGAGUCGCCUUCCUCGCUACCUGGCAGUGCCUCCACCAGAUAUGGCGCAGGAAGCCAAAAUGAUUGAUGAAGAUACACUUCGAGACAUUGUCAACCUGGGAUAUGAUAAAGACCAUGUGUGUGAAUCGCUGUGUAAUAGGCUGCAAAAUGAGGCAACUGUUGCAUAUUACUUGAUCCUGGACAAUAGGUUCCGGGCUACUAGUGGCUAUUUGGGGGCUGUCUAUCAACAACCAUUGGACAGGAGUUUUAAUCACUUUACUUCAACGGAAUCAACAAGCCCAAGUACCCGGAAUUAUCUUCCAGGAAUUAAUGAUUCUCAAGGCAGUGGCUUGCGGUCAUAUUACCCCGUUCAAAGGAAAUGGUCUCUUGGGCUCCAGUCUGGAGCUCACCCUCGUGCGAUAAUGAUUGAAGUUCUAAAGGCACUUAAUGAAUUAAAUGUCCGUUGGAAGAACAAUGGAGACUACAACAUGAAAUGCAGGUGGUGCCCUGGGUUUCCUCAGUUCAGUGAUAUGUUGUUAGAUGCCAACCACAGCUUUGUUGAUGAUUCUACCAUGAUGGAUAAUGGUGAUGCUAAUAGGAGGCUACCUGCUGUGAUCAAGUUCGAAAUUCAGCUUUACAAGACCAAGGAUGACAAGUACCUGCUAGAUAUGCAGAGAGUUACUGGAUCUCAACUCCUCUUCCUGGAAUUUUGUGCGGCCUUCCUUACCAACCUUAGGGUUCUAUAGUGCUUGUUCUAGUUGAGUGGAGAAUAGCAAAACUUAUGACUGUCCUGUAUGUGUGGUGCCGUUCAUUUCCCCAACAGUGAAUAAGUGAUGGUGUGUAAACAUGUAGGCGGUGUGUUUCAUCUUAGUUUUACCGAGUCCCUGACAGCGAACCAUGUUGUUUGAGUGACUAGUCCUGUGUCGAGCACCAAAAGGUUAAGUUGUUGUGAACUUGUAAGAUAAAUAGGCUGUGGUGAACCUUUUUUGA